RNAcentral lists this long non-coding RNA (2482 nucleotides) under Homo sapiens (human). Its description in RNAcentral is "HSALNT0225855". Lineage: Eukaryota; Metazoa; Chordata; Mammalia; Primates; Hominidae. The record is from RNAcentral.
AUCAUGACAGUUUUAUUUGUAAUAUCCCCAAAUGCAAGCAAUCCAAAUGCUGAACAGGUAAACAGACAAGCAGAGUGUAGAAUAUAGAAUAUACAAUGGAAUAAACAAUUAUGAACUAGGUAUACCUGCAACGAUAUAAAUGAAUCUCAGAAUAACUAUUGAGUAGGGGAAGCCAGACUGAAGGAAAGAACGGAUGUUCCUUUUUAUGGCCGCUUAGCAUUCCAUGGUGUAUAGGUACCACAUUUUCUUCAUCCAAUCCACUGCUGAUGGGCAUCUAGGUUGAUUCCAUGUCUUUGCUAUUGUAAACAACGCUUUGAUGAACAUAUGGGUGCACGUGCCUUUUUGAUAAAAUGACUUACUUGCCUUUGGGUAUAUACCUAGUAAUGGAUUGCUGGGUCGAAUAGCAGUUCUAAGUGCUUUCAGAAAUCUCCAAACUGCCUUCCACAGUGGCUGAACUAGUUUUUAUUCCCAGCAAGUGUAUAAGGGUUCCCUCUUCCCCGCAGCCUCACAAGCAUUGGUUGUUUAUUGACUUUUUCAUAAUCGCCAUUCUGACCGGUGUGAGACGUUAUCUCAUUGUGGUCAUGUCCUUCGCAGCAACAUGGAUGGCAGCCAUUGUCCUAAGGAAUUAACCCAAGAAUGGGAAACCAAAUAACGCAUGUUCUCACUUAUAAGUGGGACCUAAACAUUGAAUACACAUAGACAUAAAGAUGGGAGCAGCAGACACUGGGGACGACUAGGGAGGGAGGGAGGCAGGGAGGGAGUGGAACAGAACGUGGGCUGAAAAACUACUACUCACUACCUGGGUGACUGGAUCAUCUGUACCCCAACCUUCAGCACCCUGCAAUAUACUCAUGAAACAAACCUGCACAUGUACCCUUUAAUCUAAAAUAAAAGUUGAAAUUGUUUUUUUAAAAAAGAGCACAUAGUAUAUUAUUCCAUUUACAUAAAAUUUUAGAAAACACAAAUGAAUGUGUUGACAAAUCAGUGGUUGCCUGGAGAAGGGGGAGUGCAGAGAGGUACAUGGGGAAUAAAUUAUAAAGGGACUGGAGGAGAUGUUUGGAGGUGGUGAAUGUGUUCACUAUGUUGAUUGCGGUGAUGAUUUCAUGGACGUACACAUCUGUAGAAACGUUGGUGUGUACAUAUGUUGUAUUCUCAAAUUGUCCACUCUGAGUACGAGCAGUGGGGAUUAAGAGGAAAAUAAUAGUAGAGAACAAAAUCAGAGCUUGGCAUGGCUCUCUGCUGGCACCGUGCAGGGUGUGAUUACAUCAGAUCUGUGCAACUCAGAUCUUGGGGAGGGGUUGGGGGGUGGAAGGUGGAGGGAGGAAGGGAGAGAAAACAGAGGGCGGGAAGAAGGGAAGGAAGUGAAGAAGGGAAUGAGGGACGGAAAGAGAGAGACAGCGAAGAGAGGAGAAAGAGUUUCAGAAUUUGGCAAAAGUCUCAAGGCUCAAGCUGGUUGUCUGAAGCCUUUCAAACCCCCAGUUUUAUCACCACAUAUGAGCUCUUAGCAUAUGAAACUGCAGCUAGGACUAAAACCAGAGGAAGGCACACAGAAUCUUGACUGCUCUUCAGAAAUACAUGGCACUCCGUUAAAAUGAAGAUUUUUGCUGCUCACUCCAGAAAUAUUGAAUCAAAACGUGGAGCAGGAGACAGGCAAGGCCAGUGAAGGAGUGUGGCUCCGAUAGGAUUGACAACUACUACCUUAGAUGAUGAAUCAAGCUCAGAAGGGAUCCCUCUGGAUUUCCCUGCGCCAUGUAAGAAGUGCCUGCUUUCCCUUUGCCUUCUGCUAUGAUUGUUUCCUGAGGCCUCCCCAGUCAUGUUACCUGUACAGCCUGCAGAACUGUGAAGAAACCGAGGCAAUGAACAAAGUAAUAUACCCAAGAUCACAUUGCCAGUGAAUGGGAGAGCUGACGUUUCAAUCUACACAGAACCUGUGCUCUUAGCUAUCUAACCGCUUUACUUGGAAGUGAUGUGAGAUUAAAAAAAGAAGAAAAACAAAAUAUUUUCUUAUGCUUUCAAAAAGUUCAAAAUUAAUAAGGGAACCGUUUCUCCAUGGGGACAGGAGCUUCUGGAAGGCUGGACCCAAUCAUUACAGGCUCAGUCCAGGGCCUUUCCUUCACACCAACUACUGCAGGUACAAACUGUCUAACUGAUCCAGUUCUUAUUUAACUUGUCUCAGUUACUUCGACUUUAUCACUCACUCAGAGAUAAGACAACUGUCAGUCCUCUGAGCCUAAGCUAAGCCAUCAUAUCCCCUGUGACCUGCACAUACACAUCCAGAUGGCCUGUUCCUGCCUUAACUGAUGACAUUAUCUUGUGAAAUUCCUUCUCCUGGCUCAUUCUGGCUCAAAAGCUCCCCUACUGAGCACCUUGUGACCCCCACUCCUGCCCACCAGAGAACAAACCCCCUUUUUCCUUUACCUACCCAAAUCCUAUAAAACGGCCCCACCCCUAUCUCCCUUCACUGACUCUCUAUUCGGACUCA